Molecule: ribosomal RNA, 1223 nt
Filed under: Corynebacterium ammoniagenes
Lineage: Bacteria; Bacillati; Actinomycetota; Actinomycetes; Mycobacteriales; Corynebacteriaceae
Description: bacterial SSU rRNA
Rfam family: Bacterial small subunit ribosomal RNA
Source: RNAcentral
AACGGGUGAGUAACACGUGGGUGAUCUGCCCUGCACUGUGGGAUAAGCUCGGGAAACUGGGUCUAAUACCAUAUAGGACCACUUCUUGGAUGUUGUGGUGGAAAGCUUUUGCGGUGUGGGAUGAGCCUGCGGCCUAUCAGCUUGUUGGUGGGGUAAUGGCCUACCAAGGCGGCGACGGGUAUCCGGCCUGAGAGGGUGUACGGACACAUUGGGACUGAGAUACGGCCCAGACUCCUACGGGAGGCAGCAGUGGGGAAUAUUGCACAAUGGGCGCAAGCCUGAUGCAGCGACGCCGCGUGGGGGAUGACGGCCUUCGGGUUGUAAACUCCUUUCGCUAUCGACGAAGCCACCUAGGGUGGUGACGGUAGGUAGAUAAGAAGCACCGGCUAACUACGUGCCAGCAGCCGCGGUAAUACGUAGGGUGCAAGCGUUGUCCGGAAUUACUGGGCGUAAAGAGCUCGUAGGUGGUUUGUCGCGUCGUCUGUGAAAUCCCGGGGCUUAACUUCGGGCGUGCAGGCGAUACGGGCAUAACUUGAGUGCUGUAGGGGAGACUGGAAUUCCUGGUGUAGCGGUGAAAUGCGCAGAUAUCAGGAGGAACACCGAUGGCGAAGGCAGGUCUCUGGGCAGUAACUGACGCUGAGGAGCGAAAGCAUGGGUAGCGAACAGGAUUAGAUACCCUGGUAGUCCAUGCCGUAAACGGUGGGCGCUAGGUGUAGGGGGCUUCCACGUCUUCUGUGCCGUAGCUAACGCAUUAAGCGCCCCGCCUGGGGAGUACGGCCGCAAGGCUAAAACUCAAAGGAAUUGACGGGGGCCCGCACAAGCGGCGGAGCAUGUGGAUUAAUUCGAUGCAACGCGAAGAACCUUACCUGGGCUUGACAUAUACAGGAUUGGGCUAGAGAUAGUUCGUCCCUUGUGGUCUGUAUACAGGUGGUGCAUGGUUGUCGUCAGCUCGUGUCGUGAGAUGUUGGGUUAAGUCCCGCAACGAGCGCAACCCUUGUCUUAUGUUGCCAGCACGUGAUGGUGGGGACUCAUGAGAAACUGCCGGGGUUAACUCGGAGGAAGGUGGGGAUGACGUCAAAUCAUCAUGCCCCUUAUGUCCAGGGCUUCACACAUGCUACAAUGGUCGAUACAAUGGGCAGCGACAUCGUGAGGUGGAGCGAAUCCCUGAAAGUCGGCCUUAGUUCGGAUUGGGGUCUGCAACUCGACCCCAUGAAGUCGGAGUC